AUUGAACGCUGGCGGCAGGCCUAACACGUGCAAGUCGAGCGGAUGAAGGGAGCUUGCUCCUGGAUUCAGCGGCGGACGGGUGAGUAAUGCCUAGGAAUCUGCCUGGUAGUGGGGGAUAACGUCCGGAAACGGGCGCUAAUACCGCAUACGUCCUGAGGGAGAAAGUGGGGGAUCUUCGGACCUCACGCUAUCAGAUGAGCCUAGGUCGGAUUAGCUAGUCGGUGGGGUAAAGGCCUACCAAGGCGACGAUCCGUAACUGGUCUGAGAGGAUGAUCAGUCACACUGGAACUGAGACACGGUCCAGACUCCUACGGGAGGCAGCAGUGGGGAAUAUUGGACAAUGGGCGAAAGCCUGAUCCAGCCAUGCCGCGUGUGUGAAGAAGGUCUUCGGAUUGUAAAGCACUUUAAGUUGGGAGGAAGGGCAGUAAGUUAAUACCUUGCUGUUUUGACGUUACCAACAGAAUAAGCACCGGCUAACUUCGUG
Molecule: ribosomal RNA, 484 nt
Filed under: uncultured bacterium
Lineage: Bacteria
Description: partial 16S ribosomal RNA
Rfam family: Bacterial small subunit ribosomal RNA
Source: RNAcentral